GAGCUCAACGAGAACAGA
RNAcentral lists this small nuclear RNA (18 nucleotides) under Arabidopsis thaliana (thale cress). Its description in RNAcentral is "snRNA_13543". The record is from RNAcentral. Lineage: Eukaryota; Viridiplantae; Streptophyta; Magnoliopsida; Brassicales; Brassicaceae.